RNAcentral lists this non-coding RNA (28 nucleotides) under Mus musculus (house mouse). The record is from RNAcentral. Lineage: Eukaryota; Metazoa; Chordata; Mammalia; Rodentia; Muridae.
UAGACAUGAUAACACAGGCACUACUUUA